Salvia splendens (bonfire salvia) is the source of this 107-nucleotide small nucleolar RNA. RefSeq annotates it as small nucleolar RNA snoR100. NCBI's taxonomy places the organism in Eukaryota, Viridiplantae, Streptophyta, Magnoliopsida, Lamiales, Lamiaceae. The transcript has a single exon. The record is from RefSeq and is a predicted model, not a curated record.
AAAUGAAGGUAGCAUGGUAAUGUGCACAAAGAGAGAUGUUGCAAGGUCGGCAUGUCUGCCCCCUCCGAUUUUUCAUGACUUGGGGGCCUGGUUUUAGACCUACAAUU